Molecule: ribosomal RNA, 780 nt
Filed under: uncultured marine bacterium
Lineage: Bacteria
Description: bacterial SSU rRNA
Rfam family: Bacterial small subunit ribosomal RNA
Source: RNAcentral
UGCAGUCGAGGGGUAACAUAGAGUGCUUGCACUCUGAUGACGACCGGCGCACGGGUGCGUAACGCGUAUACAAUCUACCUUUUGCUGAGGGAUAGCCUUUGGAAACGAAGAUUAAUACCUCAUAGUAUGUUUGACUGGCAUCAAUUAAACAUUAAAGGUUACGGCAAAAGAUGAGUAUGCGUUCUAUUAGCUAGAUGGUGUGGUAACGGCACACCAUGGCAACGAUAGAUAGGGGCCCUGAGAGGGGGAUCCCCCACACUGGUACUGAGACACGGACCAGACUCCUACGGGAGGCAGCAGUGAGGAAUAUUGGACAAUGGGCGCAAGCCUGAUCCAGCCAUGCCGCGUGCAGGAAGACUGCCCUAUGGGUUGUAAACUGCUUUUAUACAGGAAGAAACAGCUCUACGUGUAGAGCCUUGACGGUACUGUAAGAAUAAGGAUCGGCUAACUCCGUGCCAGCAGCCGCGGUAAUACGGAGGAUCCAAGCGUUAUCCGGAAUCAUUGGGUUUAAAGGGUCCGUAGGUGGAUAAUUAAGUCAGAGGUGGAAUCCUGCAGCUCAACUGUAGAAUUGCCUUUGAUACUGGUUAUCCUGAAUUAUUGUGAAGUAGUUAGAAUAUGUAGUGUAGCGGUGAAAUGCAUAGAUAUUACAUAGAAUACUAAUUGCGAAGGCAGAUUACUAACAAUAUAUUGACACUGAUGGACGAAAGCGUGGGGAGCGGACAGGAUUAGAUACCCUGGUAGUCCACGCCGUAAACGAUGGUCACUAGCUGUUCGAACUUC